RNAcentral lists this ribosomal RNA (420 nucleotides) under uncultured bacterium. Its description in RNAcentral is "bacterial SSU rRNA". It matches the Rfam family "Bacterial small subunit ribosomal RNA", at positions 357 to 770 of the family's 1533-position model. The record is from RNAcentral.
GGGAAUCUUCGGCAAUGGGCGAAAGCCUGACCGAGCAACGCCGCGUGAAUGAAGAAGGCCUUCGGGUUGUAAAACCCUGUUGUUAGAGAAGAAAGUGCGUGAGAGUAACUGUUCACGUUUCGACGGUAUCUAACCAGAAAGCCACGGCUAACUACGUGCCAGCAGCCGCGGUAAUACGUAGGGGGCUAGCGUUAUCCGGAAUUACUGGGCGUAAAGGGUGCGUAGGUGGUUUCUUAAGUCAGAGGUGAAAGGCUACGGCUCAACCGUAGUAAGCCUUUGAAACUGGGAAACUUGAGUGCAGGAGAGGAGAGUGGAAUUCCAUGUGUAGCGGUGAAAUGCGUAGAUAUAUGGAAGAACACCAGUGGCGAAAGCGGCUCUCUGGUCUGUAACUGACGCUGAGGUUCGAAAGCGUGGGUAGCA